UUCGAUGAAAGAGAGGUUUUGUCUUUAUUUUAGUAACUUUGGCAUAGUUGAUGUUUGAAAAUGCUGAGGGAAUGCAUCCCUUCUGGCAGUGAUUUCAAUUGGGGGCAUUCAGAAAUCUAGCCUUUCCCUAAUAUCCUUCAUUCUAUGAUUCAUCCAGACCAAAAAAGCACCCAGCAUGUCUGUCUUUCUCCACAAGUCCUCCGUUGCUAAGUCAUCAACAUACUAUAAAACAUCUUUAAGCUUCUGUACCCAAGUUGUUACUGUUGCUCCUCUUCAGCAUCAGCAAGUACAAAUUUGAAAGAGGACAGUGUGUCCUUAUGCUUCAUAAACUCCUCUUGAACCAUACAUCUCUACAAAAACAAAAUACCCUAACCUCAUCAAAAGAUUGUCAACAAUAUUACUGAAUGAAAUUUGUUCAGCCAUCUUUCAAAGGUCUAAGGGAAAAUGAAAGGAGUUUUAGCAACAGAAAAAAAUGAGAAAAGCCAAGUGAGGACUGAAGGGUCUGAAUAAACUUGGGUGUGUUUGCUCUGUUCAAUUCAAGUGGGAUUAAUUACUUGACCCUCAUGAUUGACCUACCUACCAUAUUUUUCAUUUUUUUUUCUUAUUAAAAUUUUCAGACAAAUAAAAUUACUUGAAAAUUACUGGAUAUUACUUAUUAUUUAAAAAUUAAAAUAAAAAUUGCUAACCUUCUUGUAAUAUAAUUAGUAAACAUAUUUUCGUUUUAUAAGUUAUAAUCAAACCGGUUUAUAUAUCCUAUUUUUAAAAAUAACAAAGACAGAAAAUUGUCUGAAAAUGUGAAUCUCAAUAAUGAACUACACCUAGAGGGGGGUGAAUAGGUGUUGUAGAACAAUUUAAAAAAUCCUUCCAACAAAAAUUACCUAACCUUAGACUAUCUUAAUGUCAAGAAUUUUUUCUUCUAAUAACUUUUCAACAAAGCAAAACAUCCACAAGCAAUAAUGUAUGCAUCAACACUCUCCCAACAAUUUAUAAGUGCAAAACACAUGCAAAUGCUUCAACACUUCUCAAAAAUAAAUCAAAAUAUAGAGUGAGAGAAAGAGACAAUGAACACCGGAUUUUUAACGUGGAAAUCCUCCGAAGAGAUCAAAAACCACGGGCCUAUCACCGAUUGAAAACUCCACUAUGAAGAAUAAAAACUGAGUACAAGGUUUUACCUAGCUCAAGCCAACCAAUCCUUCCCGGAAUACUUGACUAGUACCUUCAUUUUCAGCUUCCCCUUUUGGAGCAUACUUGGAGUCCGCACCAAGCUCAAUCUCGGCCUCUUCUUGAAUCCACACAAGAAGAAAAUGGGUUUUUGCACAACCCAAAUAGAAUGAGAGAUUUAGAUGUGAAUGAAAGAAUGAAUCAACCCAUUUAUUGCUCAAGAAAAUCCAUUGAAAACUAGUUUUGAAAACAUUAAGAGAAGUGGAUUUUCUUUGCAAUCAAAAACCCCAACUUAGGAAAGCAAAAAUGAGAAAUGAAGAACACUUGGAGUGUGGCUGCUCUAACCCAUUUUCUGCAGUCUCUCAUUUUAGAAAAUGAGAGAAGAUUGGUUUUUAAAGUGUAAAAAGAAACCCUUAAUCUAAUGGCUGAGAUUUG
RNAcentral lists this long non-coding RNA (1596 nucleotides) under Vitis vinifera (wine grape). Its description in RNAcentral is "long non-coding RNA (VVIN_LNC004252)". The record is from RNAcentral. Lineage: Eukaryota; Viridiplantae; Streptophyta; Magnoliopsida; Vitales; Vitaceae.